ACUAGUCAUGGAAGAUCUAUGAUUACAUUUAAAAAAGAACGUACUGAUAGGAAUAAUUCUACCAUCAGUAGAGCUGAACAAGAAGAGAAAUUGGAAGUCAUAUACUCUGAGCUGGUGAACCUACCCAUUAAGAAUACACGUCAUCCUCGUGCAGAUGGUUGCAACAUGCUGUAUGCUGCAGUUACCACAAGAAACCACAAGGUAUAACAGAUGUUCACUUCCAUCAUCAAACUUAAGACAUUCCUGAUGCCACAAUGUCUACCACUCCACGUGUCUACUUGCAAAGCCACAUUUGAGAUUGUGAAUAUUGGUCAUUAUUGGUCAUUUUAAUACACAGUAAACAAGAGUACUCCUGUUCAGUUUGGCUCAUGUUUUUAAACAUUAAUAUAUCUAAAGUAAAAAUAAAAAAAUCAACGACUGUAAAAUAUGCACUUUCAAAUAACAAUAUAUGUUUAUUGGUAAUCUAUCAGCAUAGAUAUUUGCAUUUUCUCUCUUUCAAGAAUGUAUGUUUGCAAUUCCUGUCUUGCUGCUGCUGGACACAAAUGCAAGCCACUGGUUUCAUAUCUCCUCUCUCUAAUGCACAACAAUGCUUUUGACUGCAAAGGUGCCCUUUAUUCCCUAAGCAGGCAGUUUCCAUUUUUUCCAUGCUAAAGAUUUUUUAUGUUUAAGUCUUCUAUUUUGUGAACCAGUUCCUCUGCAUUAAAACUUUAAGCUUAAUUGGACUUUGUGUCGAGACUUAAGUUUAGAGUUUUGUCAGAAAAAUUUAGUUUCAUCGCCAUUGCUGUAGCUAUAUUUACAA
Polypterus senegalus (gray bichir) is the source of this 799-nucleotide long non-coding RNA. RefSeq lists it as uncharacterized. Lineage: Eukaryota; Metazoa; Chordata; Cladistia; Polypteriformes; Polypteridae. The transcript has 4 exons. The record is from RefSeq and is a predicted model, not a curated record.